This 368-nucleotide ribosomal RNA is filed under the name uncultured organism. RNAcentral describes it as "bacterial SSU rRNA". It matches the Rfam family "Bacterial small subunit ribosomal RNA", at positions 526 to 896 of the family's 1533-position model. The record is from RNAcentral.
CGAAGGAUCCAAGCGUUAUCCGGAUUCAUUGGGUUUAAAGGGUGCGUAGGCGGGUUUAUAAGUCAGUGGUGAAAGCCGAUCGCUUAACGAUCGAACUGCCAUUGAUACUGUAGACCUAGAGUACAGAUGAUGUUGGCGGAAUGUGACAUGUAGCGGUGAAAUGCAUAGAUAUGUCAUAGAACACCGAUUGCGAAGGCAGCUGACAAAACUGUAACUGACGCUGAUGCACGAAAGUGCGGGGAUCAAACAGGAUUAGAUACCCUGGUAGUCCGCACAGUAAACGAUGAUAACUAGUUGUUUGCGAUAUACAGUAAGCGACCAAGCGAAAGCGAUAAGUUAUCCACCUGGGGAGUACGCUCGCAAGAGUG